This 428-nucleotide ribosomal RNA is filed under the name uncultured bacterium. Its description in RNAcentral is "bacterial SSU rRNA". It matches the Rfam family "Bacterial small subunit ribosomal RNA", at positions 355 to 775 of the family's 1533-position model. The record is from RNAcentral.
UAGGGAAUCUUCCGCAAUGGACGAAAGUCUGACGGAGCAACGCCGCGUGAGUGAAGAAGGUUUUCGGAUCGUAAAACUCUGUUGUCAGAGAAGAACAAGUCGGAGAGUAACUGCUCCGACCUUGACGGUAUCUGACCAGAAAGCCACGGCUAACUACGUGCCAGCAGCCGCGGUGAUACGUAGGUGGCAAGCGUUGUCCGGAUUUAUUGGGCGUAAAGCGAGCGCAGGCGGUUCCUUAAGUCUGAUGUGAAAGCCCACGGCUUAACCGUGGAAGGUCAUUGGAAACUGGGGGACUUGAGUGCAGAAGAGGAGAGUGGAAUUCCAUGUGUAGCGGUGAAAUGCGUAGAUAUAUGGAGGAACACCAGUGGCGAAGGCGACUCUCUGGUCUGUAACUGACGCUGAGGCUCGAAAGCGUGGGGAGCAAACAG